GACGAACGCUGGCGGCGUGCUUAACACAUGCAAGUCGAGCGGUAAGGCCCUUUCGGGGUACGACGAGCGGCGAACGGGUGAGUAACACGUGGGUGACCUGCCCUCCAGCUCUGGGAUAAGCCUGGGAAACUGGGUCGUAAUACCGGAUAUGACUCCACGACGCAUGUUGUGGGGUGGAAAGCCUUGUGCGGCUGAGGAUGGGCCCGGCGGCCUAUCAGCUUGUUGGUGGGGUGAUGGCCUACCAAGGCGACGACGGGUAGCCGGCCUGAGAGGGCGACCGGCCACACUGGGACUGAGACACGGCCCAGACUCCUACGGGAGGGCAGCAGUGGGGAAGUCUUGCGCAAUGGGCGAAAGCCUGACGCAGCGACGCCGCGUGAGGGAUGACGGCC
RNAcentral lists this ribosomal RNA (392 nucleotides) under uncultured bacterium. RNAcentral describes it as "bacterial SSU rRNA". It matches the Rfam family "Bacterial small subunit ribosomal RNA", at positions 28 to 416 of the family's 1533-position model. The record is from RNAcentral.